ACGAUUAUUUUUUGGAGCUUGAUAAAGGAAACAAGAAAAUUGGACCUCCUGAGAUGCUUGAUUGGUCAAAAGUUGAAAGGUUAGAAAAAUUUCUUGCAAUUUUCUACGAGUCAACAUUAGUUGUUUCAGGUUCUACUUCUGUGAAUUCAUUCAAGUGUUAUGGUGAGAUUGUGGACAUUUGCACAAGUCUAAGAGAACUGAGUUACAGUUUUGAUCAAGAAUUGAAGAAAAAUGCAACUGAUAUGUUAAAGAAGUUUGAUAAGUACUGGGAGGGCCUGAAAAAUAUGAAUAAAAUGUUGAUUGUGGCCACUGUGUUUGAUCCUAGAAAGAAGAUGAAGUUUGCUGAGUUGUGUUUUGAUGAUCUAUUUGGGAAAGAAACUGUAGAGAAUAAGGAAAUGCAAACAUCAGUGAAAGAUAUUCUCCGUUCUUUGUUUGAUGAAUACAGUUUACGAUUGGGUACGGCUACAACCUCUGAAACUGUCAGUUUUCUCAGACAUCUCACUGCAAUCAAGAGCAGUCAACUGAAAGAUGGGAUGACGAUCUCGACCUGGUUUCUAGUCGUAAAAGAAGAAAGGUGGAAUCUAGAUUUACAGAGAUGCAGAAUGAGAAAGGAGUUAAAGUAUCGACGGAUGAGCUGGAUGUGUAUCUAAAGGAAAGUUGUGAGACUCCAGAUGUGAUGCAUGGAAUGGAGUAUGAUGUACUGUCUUGGUGGAAGGUGAAUGCCCACAAAUAUCCAAUUUUAGCAGAGAUAGCUCGUGACGUACUUGCAGUCCAAGUGUCAUCGGUUGCAUCUGAGAGUGCAUUCAGCACGAGUGGAAGAAUCAUAUCGCCAGCAAGGAGUUCUCUAACUCAUUAUAUGGUGGAGGUUUUGAUGUGUUUAGACCAGUGGAUGAAACAAGAUAUUUCAUUGUCACAAAAGUGCUUACAAUUUCACAAAUACUUGCUGACAUAGAAUACGAUGAGAAGCUUGAGAAAGAGUUUGAAAUUCCUUUCAUAAUAGGCGAUUAAACUCCAAUGCAACAAUGUAUGAAGGAACUUGAACUUGAGGAUGGAGGCAUGGAGGAAAGAGCUAAAGAUGAUUGAAUGUGGACAUGUAGUUGUUCUGAUUUGAAGUCUUUUUUUUCUUAAAACGUUCAUGGACGUAUUGUCAUUUGUCGCUUCGUUUUUAUCUUUUGUUUUUUCUCUUUAACGUUCCUAAACUUCAAUGCUACUUAUCUACUAUUUGCUUCUAUUUGGAUGAUGAUUUUGGUGAGAUUACAUUGAAAUUUCUGUUUUUUGUUUAAAAUUUUAUUGGUUACUACGGUUAUUUCGAACCCGAAAUAAAACC
Molecule: long non-coding RNA, 1327 nt
Organism: Capsella rubella
Lineage: Eukaryota; Viridiplantae; Streptophyta; Magnoliopsida; Brassicales; Brassicaceae
Exons: 3
Source: RefSeq, a predicted model, not a curated record